Molecule: ribosomal RNA, 255 nt
Filed under: uncultured prokaryote
Description: partial 16S ribosomal RNA
Rfam family: Bacterial small subunit ribosomal RNA
Source: RNAcentral
AAUACGUAGGGGGCCAGCGUUGUCCGGAAUCAUUGGGCGUAAAGCGCGCGUAGGCGGCCCGUUAAGUGGCUGGUGAAAUCCCGGGGCUCAACUCCGGGGCUGCCGGUCAGACUGGCGAGCUAGAGCACGGUAGGGGCAGAUGGAAUUCCCGGUGUAGCGGUGGAAUGCGUAGAGAUCGGGAAGAAUACCAGUGGCGAAGGCGUUCUGCUGGGCCGUUGCUGACGCUGAGGCGCGACAGCGUGGGGAGCAAACAGG